AUUGAACGCUGGCGGAAUGCUUUACACAUGCAAGUCGAACGGCAGCACGGACUUCGGUCUGGUGGCGAGUGGCGAACGGGUGAGUAAUACAUCGGAACGUGCCCAAUCGUGGGGGAUAACGUAGCGAAAGCUACGCUAAUACCGCAUACGAUCUAAGGAUGAAAGCGGGGGAUCGCAAGACCUCGCGCGAUUGGAGCGGCCGAUGGCAGAUUAGGUAGUUGGUAGGGUAAAGGCCUACCAAGCCGACGAUCUGUAGCUGGUCUGAGAGGAUGAUCAGCCACACUGGGACUGAGACACGGCCCAGACUCCUACGGGAGGCAGCAGUGGGGAAUGUUGGACAAUGGACGCAAGUCUGAUCCAGCCAUUCCGCGUGCAGGAUGAAGGCCCUCGGGUUGUAAACUGCUUUUGUACAGAACGAAAAGGCUCUGGUUAAUACCUAGGGCUCACGACGGUACUGUAAGAAUAAGCACCGGCUAACUACGUGCCAGCAGCCGCAGUAA
Molecule: ribosomal RNA, 500 nt
Filed under: uncultured bacterium
Lineage: Bacteria
Description: partial 16S ribosomal RNA
Rfam family: Bacterial small subunit ribosomal RNA
Source: RNAcentral